RNAcentral lists this ribosomal RNA (254 nucleotides) under uncultured bacterium. Its description in RNAcentral is "partial 16S ribosomal RNA". It matches the Rfam family "Bacterial small subunit ribosomal RNA", at positions 524 to 776 of the family's 1533-position model. The record is from RNAcentral.
UACGGAGGGUGCAAGCGUUAUCCGGAAUCACUGGGCUUAAAGGGUGCGUAGGCGGUCAGAUAAGUCAGUUGUGAAAUACCCCGGCUUAACCGGCGGAACUGCGAUUGAUACUGUUUGACUUGAAUCAGGUUGAGGUAGGCGGAAUGUGGCAUGUAGCGGUGAAAUGCUUAGAUAUGCCAUAGAACACCGAUUGCGAAGGCAGCUUGCUGGACCUGUAUUGACGCUGAGGCACGAAAGCGUGGGGAGCAAACAGG